UUCAAUUUAUAUACAAUGAACAAUGUCUUAAGAUAUUUUUUCUUUGAAGGUUUUCACUGAGAGAAGUAAUGGACAGAUGUUUCACUGAAAGAAGUUGAAGCAGAAGUGAAAGUGCUGCAUGUCAAAUAUCAUCCUUUCUUGUAUGAAAAAUAAUACCACUGGAUUUGACAGUACAAACCUAAAUAAACAUUUGGACUGGAAUGAGAAAGCUGAAAGUUGAAGAAGAUGCAGCAGUGGCAAACCCACUACAGUUCUGAUGGAGAUGCUAAAGGCUCUGUGCCCUUCAAUCCCAUUAUUAGAAGCAAACUCCUCUCUCAGGAACCUGUGUAUUUUCUCAAAGUAUAGGUUUGCAGUAUUUCACAUGUGUGGAUUCAGAGAAAACAAUCCAUUUCUUUGGAGCACCUCUGAAUUUCUUGUCUGCAUUGGGAAUCAUUGGCAAGCUAAAUCUUUGAUAAAAAGUCUGAUACCUGAAGCCCCAGACUGGCACUAGCUAGAAAAGAGAAUAGCAGAUUGGAAUUUACAGACAGGUCCCAGAAUCAACUACAGCUUCAGUGGUAAGGUAGCAAAUGAAGAAGACAAUGUAUUUGUACUUGAAAAUUACAUCUUUACCUUGAUCACAGUACUGUGGUGAACCCAUAUUGCAGACUUGACUCUCCAAACGUCCCUUCGAACCACUACAAGUAUGUGAUUCUGUGAAAUCAUUGCAUUCCAGAGAAAGUGAACUGACAAAAACAUAUUUAUCGUGGUUGGUUUUCUCCCUUCUGAUGUGUUUGUGUUGUUUUAUUUGUGACAUCUGAAAAUAGCUGAGAUAAAUGUGGUUUGGAUAUUCUAUAAAGACUGCUUUUUAUCUCUCAGUGCUGUUAAAUACCCUGUUAAACAAAGAACUCAAAACAGACCUCCUCCCACCCUCCCACCCCCCCACCCCCCAAAAAAACAAACAAACAAACAAAAAAAAAACAGCUGCUCCAAAUUGUUUCUUUUGAAUUCAGUAAUUUACUCCAACUCAACUCAAGUUCAGUAAGUUCUCUAAAUCUGAUGGAGACUUUUCUUGCUUUAAUGUAAUCAUGUUUGGACCUUGC
This 1079-nucleotide long non-coding RNA is filed under the name Coturnix japonica (Japanese quail). RNAcentral describes it as "lncRNA (ENSCJPG00005012438.1)". Lineage: Eukaryota; Metazoa; Chordata; Aves; Galliformes; Phasianidae. The record is from RNAcentral.